GGAAGAGUUAUGUGGAUGACAAGGGGCCAAAAGCUCUAGACAACUUGGUAAAGCAAGAGCAAAAAACAGGAUGGGAAGCCUAGACAGAGCAGACCCAGGAUAGCAAGAGAAGAAGCCAGAAAGGCACUGAAGGAUCAACAUGGAAAUGGUCAAAAUGUAGAAGAUUCAAGUUCUUGAAGGAUUCAAGAUAUAGAAAGGGUGUGAGAUAUGGAAAGAAUUCAAGAUACGAGACGAUAUGGAAGCAUCUGAGAUUUUAGAGUACAAGAUAUGAGAAAAUUCAAGAUGCAGAAAGCAAGAACCUGGAUAAGAUCUCUCUGGAGAAGUCAUCAAACCUCCUUCAAAUGGCAGCCCUUACCUUGUUGGAGUAUUUCCAUUCCUUCUCCAG
Long non-coding RNA from Herpailurus yagouaroundi (jaguarundi), 385 nucleotides. RefSeq lists it as uncharacterized. The transcript is spliced from 3 exons. The record is from RefSeq and is a predicted model, not a curated record. NCBI's taxonomy places the organism in Eukaryota, Metazoa, Chordata, Mammalia, Carnivora, Felidae.